GAUGAACGCUGGCGGCGUGCCUAAUACAUGCAAGUCGAGCGAACGGACGAGAAGCUUGCUUCUCUGAUGUUAGCGGCGGACGGGUGAGUAACACGUGGAUAACCUACUUCUAAGACUGGGAUAACUUCGGGAAACCGCAGCUACUACCGGAUAAUAUUUUGAACCGCUUGGUUCAAAAGUGCUAGACGGUUUUGCUGUCACUUAUAGAUGGAUCCGCGCUGCAUUAGCUAGUUGGUAAGGUAACGGCUUACCAAGGCAACGAUGCAUAGCCGACCUGAGAGGAUGAUCGGCCACACUGGAACUGAGACACGGUCCAGACUCCUACGGGAGGCAGCAGUAGGGAAUCUUCCGCAAUGGGCGAAAGCCUGACGGAGCAACGCCGCGUGAGUGAUGAAGGUCUUCGGAUCGUAAAACUCUUUUAUUAGGGAAGAAAAUAUGUGUAAGUAACUGUGCACAUCUUGACGGUACCUAAUCAGAAAGCCACGGCUAACUACGUG
RNAcentral lists this ribosomal RNA (497 nucleotides) under uncultured bacterium. RNAcentral's name for it is "partial 16S ribosomal RNA". It matches the Rfam family "Bacterial small subunit ribosomal RNA", at positions 28 to 507 of the family's 1533-position model. The record is from RNAcentral.